AUGACGCAGGCGACUGCUAGAUCCAGAAUCCUGGCGGCGGCAGGGGAACUGGAUGCUGCGGGGACGGCAAGGGAACCGGAGGUUUGGGCGGCGGCGAGCAUCGUCGGCGACGGCGCCAAGCUACAUGACCCCCCUCUAGUUGCGGCGGCGGACGAGAGUUUCAUGUCGGAGGAAGAAGUAAUGGAGUCUGAUACUGCAUUCAGUCAACGCUUUGCAGCAAAACGCUUGCGUGAAGUUGCGAAUACAAAGCUCAAUGAUAGGAAGAGGGAAUACAUAAAUGAAACUGGCUUUGGUGAUCUCACGAGCAUCUCCCCUUUCACAAUACCACAUGAUCUGAUGGAGUGGAUAACUAUGAAUAUCGACACUGACACUCAUGAGCUGAGGCUGAGUCGGAAUAAGGUCAUUGUGUUCACUAGAGACAUGGUGAAGAAGGUUUUCAACAUCCCAUCAGGCAACAAACCAGUUGAGCUUUUCAAGAGACACCAUCAUUGCGAGCUCCGCAACAUUUAUCACAAGAAUGGCAGGGCUCCAAUUGCGCAUACAGUGGAUGUGCUUCAUUGGGCAGGGGACCAUGAUGGAAAUACUACAAAGAGGUCAUGGGUGCUCUUAGCGCUUGCAACAGUUUUAACUCCAAGCACUGGCAACAUGGUGCCCCUAGAGUACUUGAAAAGCCUCGAAGAUAUGGACAAGGUUAUUUACAUGGACCAUUUGAUAUUUCCUCAAGCUGCCAUCAACGAGCACAAAUUAAACUAUUCUCUCCCAAGGGCUUGCUUUGUGCAUCAGACUGAUUUUGAUAUUGUGUUGGAAUAUGAUAGGAACAAGCUUUCUUUGGGCAAACCAUCAUUCGGGAAGUGUCGGUUUCGCCCUUUGUCAGAGACACCUUAUGCAGCAUUGCUUGCCCAAGGACAUGAAGGAAACAACAGUGAAGUUGCUCAAGAUCAGCAUGUUUCGGACAACCCAGAUUGCAGUGAUACUCAAGAUCGUGGGGAUGAAAAUAUCAACAUUGAUGAUAACCAGGAUGACAUGGCUGCGAAACAGAAUCCUACAGAAGGUAGCAAUCCAACAGAAGAUGGCAAAAGCACCGAUGGAGAUGUGUGUGGUUCACUAGAUGAUUGGCUUCAGAACCCAACACCAUUUGGGGCAGAGCUCGAGCUACCAUCAAAUCUGGCUGCAAUCUACGACAAGCACACAAAACUUUUUUCUUCGGAGUUAAAAGGUGCUCUUAGCUCUUUUGGGCAAGUGUUGCAAGCAAUGCAUUGCAAGCGAAUGGGGCACCUACUCAAAGAUGUGCACGCUGCUUCGCCAAGCUCUCAGGAAGCAGCGGAUGUUAGUUUUCAUGUGCCACCCCCUCGCAGCAAUGAUGUAGACAAGUCAGAUCAUCAUGGAUGUACCAAAGAAACUUCUAGCAGGAAGGCUGCAGAUGAGCCAACAACACACAAGGUGGUUGAGUCUGCUGAAGGAGCUCGAAGCAAUCAUGCAAACAACAAUGCUCAUGAGUGUAAUGGCAGCAAUGUGGUUAAGAAGGGCACACGAACUAGUCCUGUUGUUAUUGACCCCCCUGCAGAGUGUUUUGAGAAUGCAAAGGAUAAAGUGGCUAGUUGUGAAGAUAUUGAGCAUGGUCACCAACUCAGCCAGCGCAAUCAAUACAUACAUACUACUGUGGCUGGAGAUUGGAGUGAUGCGCCAUCGAUGUGUCUGUUCCAAGAGGGCACCGAGGAGUAUGAUUGGUGGAUUAGUGUCCAAAGUCAAGAUGGGAACUCCAAUGCUCCACCCAAUGGCAAUGGAAACACUGCUACAACACCAAAGUCUUGUCCUGUUUUUGAUGUGACUCCUCGGGCUCCAAUCUCAACAGAAGCACAAGCUCCAGUGUUUGAUGUGACACCAAUCUCCAUGGCUCCAUUCUCGAGCGGGGCUGCAGAUGGACCAUUGAAAACACAAGGAGAGCCAGUUGUUCUAGUUAGCAGCAGGGAACCAAGUCCGGACCUCAACAAGGAGAAGUUGAAGAGUAAGGACGAGAACAAGCUCAAGAGCAAGAAAAGAGUAGGGAGUCCAAUGUCAGCCGGAUCAAAGUACAAGAAAAUCAAGACAGAUUCAAAGAUGGAAGCAAUGUACCAGUACUAUGUCAUGAAGAGGUACAAGAUGGAGAAGAUGAAGAGAGGGGAAAUUGAGCCUCCUUUCAUUAGGAUUGGUGAUUUCCACAUUACCUACCCCAACUUCCAGAAGUCGUUGAAGCCACGUGCUCAGAUUUGCAACGAAGUCAUGUCUUUAUUCAUCGAAACCUUCAACAUUGAACAGUUGUCGUCUUCAAAGAAGCAGAAGAAAUUUGCUUUCUCUGUUUUAAUGAGUCUUCAACUCUCUGUCCACCCAGAAGUUUUUGAUCCGAGUGUUUGUGCAAGAGAGCUGAGGAAGGCGUGCCAAAAUUUUCAGAUUUCAGGUUUCGACCUACUUUUCUUCACCAUCGUCCGUGAUGGCCACUGGAUUGUCUGUGUGGUUAACCUCUUGCACAAGGAGUUCAAUAUGUUUGACUCUUUGGAUGACGGGAAAUUGGACGUUGCUGCAAGGAAUCUGUUUAUCAAUUUCAAGAGGAUUGCUACCGAAGAGUCGGAUUUCACAGCGGAUCUAUCUUCUUUCAAAACAGACUGGCCUGUGCUUGACUACCCACAACAAUCAACUCACUUUGAUUGUGGAUUGUUUUCAACAAUGUACCUUGAAAAUUUUGAUGGCCAAAUGAUGAAUGAUUUCAAGAAGCAAAAUAUGCUUGAUGUGCGGAAGACCAUUGCUUCGAAGUUGUUUUUCCAUCCUUUGAACAAGGUUUUCCCUGCUGAUGUGCAUAAGGCGAUCAUAGCGGCUUGA
RNAcentral lists this ribosomal RNA (2853 nucleotides) under Triticum aestivum (bread wheat). RNAcentral describes it as "partial small subunit ribosomal RNA". The record is from RNAcentral. Lineage: Eukaryota; Viridiplantae; Streptophyta; Magnoliopsida; Poales; Poaceae.